AUGCAGCUGUGGACCCUGGAGGGCGCGAAGGAGGCGUUGGGCGACAAGGUGAUCAUCGACCGCCUCGACAACUGCACUUUCAAGCGUGCGGACACGAAGCUCUUCGCCGUCUGGGUGUGGGUGUGGCAGCUCCACUACAUCCCAACCAAGCGGACGCUUUGGAAGCACGCACGGGGGGCUGGCAGGGUGGAGGAGAUGAUGGGCUUCUCGCCGCCGAGCAGGGUGGUCGCGCCGCCCCCUGACCUGCUCCGAUGGGAUGUCCUGGUGCACAUCGACCGCGUUGAAGACUGG
RNAcentral lists this ribosomal RNA (291 nucleotides) under Triticum aestivum (bread wheat). RNAcentral's name for it is "partial small subunit ribosomal RNA". The record is from RNAcentral. Lineage: Eukaryota; Viridiplantae; Streptophyta; Magnoliopsida; Poales; Poaceae.